AUAAAGAUGACGUUUAUACGGUGUUUAGACCGUGUUUGAUUGAGUGUGUUGGACAGCUGUAAUUAUGAAUUUUAGGGGAAUCUUAUGAAACGGUCUUGAGACGUGUGCAAAUUUGAAAGGGUGGGCAGGGCUUUUCGGCUGAACUAACGAGGAAGUCCUGAAAGUUUUUUCUCGUUGAAAAGAGCCAUGUGCAGCUUGACAUAAAGUCUGAGCUCUGGAUGAGCAGAAAUGUGGAUUCUACCGCAGAACGUUUGAGAGAACGAUCAAAGUUUGGGUUUCUUUUUGUUGAGCCUGCGCUGCUUCUGCGUCCGAGUCGGGAAACAAAGACACGGCAGGCUCAAUGAAGAAUGCCAGGCUGCACAGCUCUCUUCCUCUCAGCAUUAACAGUGACUCUCUUCUGUGCUGUAGUCGGUCAGACUAAAUUCACUGUAAGUGCAGAACAGGAGGUCUACCGUGCAGAAGAAAACACUAAUGUCACAAUGAUCUGGCUGCUCCAUUUUGACACCAACAGGCCUCCUGACUCCCUGCUAAUAGACCUAAUGAAUGUGAUAAGGACGACACAGAUUUUCUUCUAUAACAGUGAGACUGACACUGAAGUGUACCCAGAUGAGAACUACAGAGGGCGACUACAUUGUGAUCCACGGCUAGCCAGGAAAGGAAGGCUUGAAUGUCUUUUAACUGAUGUAAGGCUUAACGACACGGGGACAUAUGACUGUAUGAUUGUCCUUAACAGAGAAAGUAGCUACAAAACAUGUGACCUCAAUGUUAAAGCUGCCUUCAAGAAACCUGUUGCAGAGACAUCAACACCAGUGAGGAGUGGGAGGAGCAGCCUAUAUGCAGUGCCAGCUUUGUUUAUAGUGGCGAUUUUUGUACUUUUUUGUAAAUAACUGCUGUGUAUUUAUGUGAAGUAGCAGCCCAUUACAGAUCACUCCUGAGGUCACCUCUGACUGUAAUGAGGCUGCUGACAGUUUUUUUUUUAAAGUACUGUCAAAAUUCCUCAGAGCUGCACCACAGAGCAGUGCACACUUACAUCAUCCUUCACUCUCCCAUAUUUAACACAAACUUAUGCACUUUUAUUCCCUAGUUUGUUUGUUUUUUUCAAUGAUUUUUCCAUUAUUUUUACACCCUGACUUGCUGCAUCCCAUGUUGUUAUGUUUAGACUAAAACAUGUGGAAAAGAGAAGUUUAAUCAUCACUUUACCAAAAACACUAUUUAUCCCAAAUCUGAAACAUGUUUGUUCAUCCUCGCUGGAUUGUUAUUCACACCACAAUAUUGUCAUUAUUCACACAAUGUAUUUAUUUUUCAUUGGUACACUGUGUGGUUAGCACAAAUGCUAACCAUAAACUGAAGGUAAUAGGGUAAGCAGCUGCUUUGUUAUAGUUCUUACAGUUUUAAUGCUACCUCAACUUUAAAAUUUACAUUUUUGUACUGAAGGAGUUAAAAAUAUGCUGCUAAUUAACUCUGGUGCUCAUUGGAGCUCCUUCAGUUUACAUAGAAGUGUUUUUGUAUCAGCUUCUGUUUGGAAACCAUCUUCUUCUAUGGAGCAGUUUAGACUUUAUAAAGGUUUAUGUGCGGCUACGUUUUAAAGCUCCACAUGGUCAAAAUAGUUUGCUAUUUGUCAUUAAUGCAAACUAGUGUUAUGAAGUCCACCGAUCAGUGUUUAUCCAUCAUUGACCUUAAGAAGAAUGCACUUUGCUCACAGCUGAUGACAAAGACUUGAUUGGAAUCAGUAAUUUGAUGAAUGUUUUUUUUUUCCUUGACAUGUUUCUACCUCAUAUUAUCCACUUUACAUUGGUCCAGAGGAGUCGUCCAUUACAGAUUACCCUUUCAGUUAACCUCUUUCUGUAAUGGAAUGUUAAUAUUAACUGGGAUUUCCUGUCCAGAUUUUAAUCAUCCACCAGACACUGUAAUGUCUGCUGGACGUUUUUUUCAAGUUGUUGGUGUGACCAGAGAGGUGCAAUGAGUGAGAUUAAUUACUUAGUGGAAUAUGUUUUACCUCAUGUUUUAUCAAAGGGAGCUUCAUUAAUUCAUAAGAUUAACCAAUAAGAUGCUCUCUCACCUUAUUUGUUUCUGUUAUACUUUCUAAUAACCUUUUUUUGGUCUCUGACUGGGGUGUUAGAUUUUUCUGAGCAUUUUGUUGAACCAUAGUAAAUCCCUCUGGUCUUAAUUCCAGUGUUAGAUCCUCGAGGUCUUUAUUCCAUCACCUCUUUGUAAUCAACUGAAUGAACACUCAUUUAAAAAAAAAAUGAUGGCACAUUGUUUUUCAGAAAUUUC
RNA transcript from Oreochromis niloticus (Nile tilapia), 2274 nucleotides. RefSeq lists it as uncharacterized. The transcript has 4 exons. NCBI's taxonomy places the organism in Eukaryota, Metazoa, Chordata, Actinopteri, Cichliformes, Cichlidae. The record is from RefSeq and is a predicted model, not a curated record.